UAAAUAAAUCAAAUAAAAGAAAAUCAAAAGACAAAUGUGAAAAACGUGGAAGUGGAAGUGCGAUCUCGAGAGACGAAUGUAAAUAAAUUCGCCAAAAUGAUUGUGAAAAUGGAGCCCGACGAACUAAUCACCUUUCGUGUCCAGUAUCUGGUGGAUAGUGAUCCGCUAUCGGCCUGCACCGCCUUCCCCAUACCGGUGCGUGCCCCCACGUAUGCGUUUGCCACAACCAUGCCACUGGCCACGCAGAUCGGCACCAUUCUCAGGCUGUUGAAUGCCCCACAAAGUAUCGAUGAUGCAGCCAUUCAGGUGUACAAGGAUGGGGACUAUGGUGCCUAUUUGGACCUGGAAUCAUCGCUGGCCGAACAGACCGAGGAGAUCGAGGGCCUGAACGCGAGUCGCAAGAACUCGCUGGUGGUACGCACCCAACUGAACGUACGCGUGCAUUCGAUUAUUGAAAAACUACUCUCAUCGGAGGGCAGCGACCUGCGACGUGCGCUGUUCUCAUUGAAGCAGGUGUUCCAGGAGGAUAAGGAUCUGGUGCAUGCCUUUGUGGCCCUCGGCGGCCUCAAUUGUCUGGUGCGCGUGGGCAAUUGUGCAAAUCAAAACUAUCAGAAUUAUAUACUGCGUGCCCUCGGACAGGUCAUGCUCUAUGUGGAUGGAAUGAACGGCGUGAUGAAGCAUGAGCCGACAAUGCAAUGGCUAUACUCAUUGAUUGCCUCCAAUUACCGAUCCGUGGUGAAGACGGCACUCAAGCUGUUGCUGGUCUUUGUCGAAUAUGCCGAGUCCAAUUGCUAUGUGCUGGUCAGUGCCAUACACGCGGUGGAUGCCACACAGGGAACGCUGCCAUGGUCCAACAUAAUGAGACUGCUCAAGGACUAUGACAAUGCGGAUGCCGAACUGGUGAUCUAUGCCACAUCGCUGAUCAACAAAACCCUCGCGGGCCUCAACGAUCAGGACACGUUCUACGACGAGAGCGACCUGCUGGAGCAGCAGGGCAUGGAGACGGUCAUUCGGCGCUACAUGUCCAAGCCGGGCACUGAUCUGGAUCUGCUCGAUCAGCUGCAACUCUAUGAGGCUGUGCUCAAAUUCGAAGAUGGUGAAUCGGACGGGCAGCGGCUGCCGCAGAACUCCAUGCGCAAGACGCAGCGCUAUCGGCCGGGCACGAACACCACGGAGCGGCGUAAGUCGCGUCGCCACAGCACCGACAACAGUCCGGCGCCCAUCACCAAGGUCCUGCCCACCACAAUGCUGCGUAUGACGCCCACCCAGGGCACCCUGGACGAGGACAGUUCGGGCUCCACCAACUCCACGGAGUUCAGUGGCGGCCUGUUCAACGAGAAGAAGCCACGCGACGGUGCGGGCGUCACGCCCGGUUUGAGGCGUCGUCGCGAGCGAGCGGAGCGGCACAAGAGCUUCCUCAAGGAGCAGCAGGAGGCAGCGGCCAAUGGCAUAUUUGCCGCACUGGAGCAGCGCGAGGGUCUGGGCCAAAUCGUAACAGCCAUUCCUGCCACCAUACAAAGCGGCGACAGUCCGCCGCAGUCAUUGCAACACGAGCUGCCGCAGCCUCAGCUGCAGCCUCAGCCGCAGCCAUGCAACAAUAAUAUCAGCAGCAGCAACAGCAACAGCAACUGCAACAGCAACAAUGAUACGCCCAACAACAGCCUGCUGCUGAGUCCCAGCAAACAGCUGCUGAGCGGCAGCCACAGCAUCUCGAUCAUCAACAACAGCUUCGACAAGGCCAACAACAAUAACACCAAUAACCAGAACGAGUUCCUCACGAAAAAGAAUCUGUUCCGCGAACGGAACGCCACGGUGAUCAACGGGAUCAUGAAGAACAUCCAGCAGACGGACAGUGGCUACAAGAAGUACGAGAACGAUGCCAAUCGCCUGAACAACUACUACACGCAGAUGAGUCAAUCGCCCAAGCAUCAGCAGCAGCAGCAGCAGCAGCAGCAACAGGAUCCCGAGGAUGUCCUGCUGAGUCCCAAGAAGCCGCUGAAUGCCUCAGGCUUUGAUUUUACGGCCGUUCCGCUUAGCUCCACGCCGGUCAAGGGCGACAUACUGCCAGAAACAGAGCCGCUGAGUCCCAUACGGAAACCCAUUGCAAUGGUGGCGCCACCACCGCCUCCGCCACCGCCGCCACCGCCACCCGGCUGGUGGCAUGCCCCCAUUGGCAGCAUUCCAGCCAGAACCCUAACCAGUACUAACCCCGCUGUGGAUACCCCAACAGAUAUUGACAGCGAGGGGAAGCAGCAACUGCUGCAGCUGCAGCUGAAGCGCGAUCACACGGUCAAGGAUCUGACACAGAAGCUGAGCAACCUGCCCACAAGUCCCACACAGGAGCCUGGCAGUCGCUCGGCCAUUGUCGGCGACAUGUCCGGCCUCAUAUCGAAAGCCAAAGAGGGACUGGCCAAGAGCAAAAGCAAGGGAGAAAUAUCAAGAUCGUCGAGUGUGGAUCAGGAUCAGCUGAAAAAGUCCGAGCCGAAGAAAUCGGAGAACGAACUCCACUGGGAGGAGCUGGUGCGGAAUAUGACGCGACCCUUGAACCUCUGCGACCUGGACUUUACCGAUCUGCACGACGACGAUGAGAAGGAUGUGCUGGCGCCACGUGGCCUGGGUGUGGGAAUUCCACCCCCACCGCCGCCAUUUGCCAGCGGAGGCAUACUGCCACCCCCCAUGAUGCCGCCAGCACCCAGUUUGAUCCCUCCCCCAAUGUUCGGCUAUGGCGGCAGCCUCACCAACAGUGUGAACAGCUCCCUGAACGGAUCCGUAAACGGGGAUCUGGUCAAUGGGAACAACACGAUCAAGAAGAACAAGAAGACGGUCAAGCUCUUCUGGAAGGAAGUGCGCGAAGACUUGAUACCCCAGGUGGUGGGUAAGACCAUUUGGGAUGAGCUGCCCAACGCCAAUGUGGAUACCCAGAAGCUCGAGCAUCUCUUUGAGUCCAGGGCCAAAGACUUGAUGACCAAGAAACAACAAGAGCUAAACAAGAGCAAAGAGAUCAUUGUGCUCGAUCACAAACGUUCCAAUGCGAUCAAUAUAGCAAUUACGAAGCUGCCGCCACCGCGUGCCAUCAAGGCGGCCAUCCUGAAGAUGGACGCCACUGUGGUGACCCGUGAGGGCAUUGACAAGCUUCUGAAUAUGCUGCCAACGGAUGAGGAGCGUGGCAAGAUCCAAGAGGCGCAGCUGGUUAACCCAGAGCUGCCACUGGGCAGUGCCGAGCAGUUCCUCUUGACGCUGGCCUCCAUCUCGGAGCUGGGGGCACGACUGAAGCUGUGGGCCUUCCGCCUGGACUUUGACAACAGUGAGAAGGAAAUUGCCGAACCGCUGAUGGAUCUCAAGCAAGGCAUUGAGAUCUUGCGUCAGAAUCGCACCUUCCGCAGCAUUCUCUCGACGCUGCUGUCCGUGGGCAUCUUCCUGAAUGGCGCCCCCGUCAAGGGCUUCCAGAUCGAGUAUCUGGCCAAGGUGCCGGAGGUGAAGGACACCGUGCACAAGCACUCGCUGCUGCACCAUCUCUGCCACAUGGUCAUGGAGUCGAGCAGCGACACGAGUGAUCUGUACUCGGAAAUCGGUCCCAUAACGCGUGCCUCCAAGGCCGACUUUGCCGACCUGGCCCACAACCUUACCCAGCUGGAGUCCGAGUGCAAGGCCUCCUGGGAUCGCCUCAAAGUGAUAGCCAAACACGACUGCCCCCCACCGCUGAAGCAGAAGCUCGUGGACUUCCUGGCCGAUUGUGCGGAGCGCAUAAUCAUCCUGCAGAUCGUACAUCGGCGCGUGAUGAACCGAUAUCGCAAGUUCCUGCUCUGGCUGGGCAUGCCCCAGCACAGUGUGGCCGAGUCCCGGCCGAAUGAGUUCUGCCGCACCCUGUCCGAGUUCGCUUUGGAGUAUCGCACGACCAGGGAGCGGGUGCAGCAGCAGCUCGAGAAGAAGGCCAAUCAUCGCGAGCGCAAUAAGACGCGUGGCAAGCUGAUCAUCGAUAUGGCCAAGUUCAAGACCAAAGAGGAUGUGGCCGACGCAGAGUUGAAAACCCUUCUGGGCACACCCAGCGCGGAUCAGGCCGAUGGCACACUCACCUGGCGACGUCGUCGGGCCGAGCAACUGCGCUCACCCAUUGCCCGCCAGAGCGAGGAGCAGUUCACCGAUGGCGAUGACGAGAUACUCGAAUCUCUGGUCAAGACCGCCACCAAGGCGCCGGGCACACGCACCACGCCCAGGGAGCGCAAGCGGACGCGUAAUGCGGAUCGCAAAUCAUUGAAGCGCAGCCGCACGCGAGAAGGAUUCACAGUUGAAAGAGCACCAUCGCCAUAGAAACCGAAAUGCUGUGUUCAGCGCUAACCGUAACCGUUACCGUUAGUGUUAACAGUAGCCGUAACCGUAACCGUUACCGUUACCGAAAGAGAACAGCCAAACUGUUUUUUUGUAGGUCUUACCUUUUUUGUGCGACGGACGCUUAAGAACGGUCUGACCGAUGAGGAGAAACAGCAUGUGGCUGCCUUGAUACAAACCUAUUAGGAUCUAGACAGAUGUAUAUUUCCAUUGAGAGAUACCGAUCCCCCCUCGCCACACGCCCCCACGACCACACUCGCCCAGUGAUGUCACAAAUCGGGCUAUGCGCGCAACAGACUGAAAUUGGCGAUCUCGGACGAGCAGAGCAGCAAGCGAAACCCCCAGAAAAAUCCUCCUUUUAUACGACACACCACAUCACAAGCAUCACAACAACAACAACAAAAUAACGAAAAUGUCCUUAAAAGAAUGCGUUUUUCAUAGUGUUUCUAUCCUGUUAUUAAUAUUAUUAUUUAAAUUUUGUUUUUGCUUCGGCCAAGUAUUAUUAAUUAAACGUAAUCUGUAUUAAUAGAUGGAAACGAUUUUAAUGUUAGACAUUUUUCAAAUUGCUACACAAUUUCGAUACGUCCCCCGAUAUGACUUUUAAAUUAUACCAAAAUGUCACAAAGUUUUUGUGGGCUACUUAAAUUAACUUAAACUAGGAGAAAACUUAUGACUACCUUAACUACGAAUCCAAUCAAUAAAUAAAGUUAUUUAUUAUA
Drosophila obscura is the source of this 5045-nucleotide RNA transcript. It is a transcript of the gene named FH1/FH2 domain-containing protein 3, with no coding region annotated. NCBI's taxonomy places the organism in Eukaryota, Metazoa, Arthropoda, Insecta, Diptera, Drosophilidae. The record is from RefSeq and is a predicted model, not a curated record. The transcript has 17 exons.